GACGAACGCCGGCGGCGUGCCUAAUACAUGCAAGUAGAACGCUGAAGGAGGAGCUUGCUUCUCUGGAUGAGUUGCGAACGGGUGAGUAACGCGUAGGUAACCUGCCUGGUAGCGGGGGAUAACUAUUGGAAACGAUAGCUAAUACCGCAUAAUAUUGACUAUUGCAUGAUAGUCAGUUGAAAGGUGCAACUGCACCACUACCAGAUGGACCUGCGUUGUAUUAGCUAGUUGGUGGGGUAACGGCUCACCAAGGCGACGAUACAUAGCCGACCUGAGAGGGUGAUCGGCCACACUGGGACUGAGACACGGCCCAGACUCCUACGGGAGGCAGCAGUAGGGAAUCUUCGGCAAUGGACGGAAGUCUGACCGAGCAACGCCGCGUGAGUGAAGAAGGUUUUCGGAUCGUAAAGCUCUGUUGUAAGAGAAGAACGAGUGUGAGAGUGGAAAGCUCACACUGUGACGGUAUCUUACCAGAAAGGGACGGCUAACUACGUG
RNAcentral lists this ribosomal RNA (495 nucleotides) under uncultured bacterium. RNAcentral describes it as "partial 16S ribosomal RNA". It matches the Rfam family "Bacterial small subunit ribosomal RNA", at positions 28 to 507 of the family's 1533-position model. The record is from RNAcentral.